This 1089-nucleotide long non-coding RNA is filed under the name Pan paniscus (pygmy chimpanzee). RNAcentral's name for it is "lncRNA (ENSPPAG00000044484.1)". Lineage: Eukaryota; Metazoa; Chordata; Mammalia; Primates; Hominidae. The record is from RNAcentral.
UUAGUGAUAAUUUUCUCAGCAAGUGUGCCUUUGAGCAUGAAUGAUGAGGAAGACAACUGAGUAACUUCAACAGCUGUUUUAUGUGAGGACAAUUCUAUCUUGGAACUUCUUGCCAAUGAUCCAGGCUAUUGUCACGUCAUCUGCCAUAGCCUGUGUCACAUAAUCUAAUCUUUUUCACAAAGUGGCUGUCUUCAAAGAGCCUUUUAAAAUAGCUUAAUUCCAGGAUGGGCACCCUUACAGAACUGAAGCACAGGAGUUGUGUACAGUGGUGGAGGAGGAACUGUACCCUCCCUGUGAGUAUCCAGUGGACUUCAGUGGACUUCAGUCCAAACAUAACAGCAAUUUCCGGUUUUAUAGACCUGGUGGAAGCUUUCCAGUGUUCAGCUAAGAGUGUGGUCUCUCUCUGUUGCUGAGUUGAUACUGCUGCUUCCCUCAGCAGCCAAGCCUUGUUCUCAAGGCUUCAUUCCACAACUGGCUUUGAGGUUGCUUCUGUUUAAUUCUGGAGUUUAAACCUCUGCCACUACUCUCCUCCACAGAAAAUAGAUGAAGAAAGUAGUUCAAAAACUACACCCGCACUCAAUAUGUGUUGUGAUUAAAAUACUGUCUGAUUCUCCGACUGGAGUGUGUGUGUGUCCUUGGAGGGAGUUGGACGUGUGCCAGGAGGAAGUGCACGUACCCACUGAUGGUCUGAAAAGACUGCUUCAACUCUGGGGCCGAAAGCAGCAAACUCAAAAGGAAGGUUGGAGUCAAUGGGUCCUGACACUAAUGGGACGAUUCUCCAGGCUAAUUCACCACUUUCUAGACAACUCAGUCCUGAAGCGUCUCAUUCCAGGAUUUAUCUCACUCACUGGUGUUUGGCCUUACCUUAAUUCAUCUUUUUAUUCAACAAGGACAGGAAGUGACCCAAGGAGAUAUUUAUCACCUCAGCUUUCUUCAUUUUGCCUAGGGAUAACUUUCAGGCCACAAGCUUUUCUUUCAAAAAUGUAUACCCAGCCACCCCCAAAUAAAUUCAUCAUUUCUAUACUAACACUUAAUAUAAGCAACCUUGCCUUUUUAUUUCUCCAAAGGACUAGGAAUCAUUUUAUUUGA